RNAcentral lists this ribosomal RNA (610 nucleotides) under Vibrio vulnificus. RNAcentral's name for it is "bacterial SSU rRNA". It matches the Rfam family "Bacterial small subunit ribosomal RNA", at positions 1 to 599 of the family's 1533-position model. The record is from RNAcentral. Lineage: Bacteria; Pseudomonadati; Pseudomonadota; Gammaproteobacteria; Vibrionales; Vibrionaceae.
UUAAUUGAAGAGUUUGAUCAUGGCUCAGAUUGAACGCUGGCGGCAGGCCUAACACAUGCAAGUCGAGCGGCAGCACAGAGAAACUUGUUUCUCGGGUGGCGAGCGGCGGACGGGUGAGUAAUGCCUGGGAAAUUGCCCUGAUGUGGGGGAUAACCAUUGGAAACGAUGGCUAAUACCGCAUGAUAGCUUCGGCUCAAAGAGGGGGACCUUCGGGCCUCUCGCGUCAGGAUAUGCCCAGGUGGGAUUAGCUAGUUGGUGAGGUAAGGGCUCACCAAGGCGACGAUCCCUAGCUGGUCUGAGAGGAUGAUCAGCCACACUGGAACUGAGACACGGUCCAGACUCCUACGGGAGGCAGCAGUGGGGAAUAUUGCACAAUGGGCGCAAGCCUGAUGCAGCCAUGCCGCGUGUGUGAAGAAGGCCUUCGGGUUGUAAAGCACUUUCAGUCGUGAGGAAGGUGGUAGUGUUAAUAGCACUAUCAUUUGACGUUAGCGACAGAAGAAGCACCGGCUAACUCCGUGCCAGCAGCCGCGGUAAUACGGAGGGUGCGAGCGUUAAUCGGAAUUACUGGGCGUAAAGCGCAUGCAGGUGGUUUGUUAAGUCAGAUGUGAAA